Molecule: ribosomal RNA, 253 nt
Filed under: uncultured bacterium
Lineage: Bacteria
Description: partial 16S ribosomal RNA
Rfam family: Bacterial small subunit ribosomal RNA
Source: RNAcentral
GACGUAGGGCGCGAGCGUUGUCCGGAUUUAUUGGGCGUAAAGAGCUCGUAGGCGGCUUGUCGCGUCGUCUGUGAAAUCCCGCGGCUUAACUGCGGGCUUGCGGUUGAUACGGGCGGGCUAGAGUUCGGUAGGGGAGACUGGAAUUCCUGGUGUAGCGGUGAAAUGCGCAGAUAUCAGGAGGAACACCGGUGGCGAAGGCGGGUCUCUGGGCCGAUACUGACGCUGAGGAGCGAAAGCGUGGGGAGCGAACAGG